This 405-nucleotide ribosomal RNA is filed under the name uncultured prokaryote. RNAcentral describes it as "bacterial SSU rRNA". It matches the Rfam family "Bacterial small subunit ribosomal RNA", at positions 355 to 774 of the family's 1533-position model. The record is from RNAcentral.
UGGGGAAUAUUGGGCAAUGGGCGCAAGCCUGACCCAGCAACGCCGCGUGAGGGAAGAAGGCCUUCGGGUUGUAAACCUCUGUCCUUAGGGACGAAAAAAAUGACGGUACCUAAGGAGGAAGCUCCGGCUAACUACGUGCCAGCAGCCGCGGUAAUACGUAGGGAGCAAGCGUUGUCCGGAAUUACUGGGCGUAAAGGGUGCGUAGGCGGCUUGGCAAGUCAGAUGUGAAAUCCCCGGGCUUAACUCGGGGGGUGCAUUUGAAACUGCUGAGCUUGAGUGCAGGAGAGGAAAGCGGAAUUCCUAGUGUAGCGGUGAAAUGCGUAGAUAUUAGGAGGAACACCAGUGGCGAAGGCGGCUUUCUGGACUGUAACUGACGCUGAGGCACGAAAGCGUGGGGAGCAAACA